RNAcentral lists this ribosomal RNA (465 nucleotides) under Triticum aestivum (bread wheat). RNAcentral's name for it is "partial small subunit ribosomal RNA". The record is from RNAcentral. Lineage: Eukaryota; Viridiplantae; Streptophyta; Magnoliopsida; Poales; Poaceae.
AUGAGCCGCUCCUACCCCAGGAGCCAGAAAACGUCCAAACCCGCCUGCCGUUCUCACCCGCGAGGACCCUUUCUUCCUCCCGGACCCAAGAAGACUCUGCUCAAAAUCUCGCCAACCUCCGGGCCACCAUCGCCAUCACCAUCGCUCCUUCCAAAAUCCCCAUCCAGACGAGCAUUUGGAUUGCCAUUCCUUUGUCCGCUUCGCCCAAAAGUUAAAGCGGCGGCGUGCCGUUGUCCGCUUCUCCGCCAGUUCCGUUCCACCUGUGCUCCACCAGCCCGUCCCUCUUCUUGGCUGGCUUCAAGAAAAGACUGGUUCUGGUUCUGGCUCUGGAUCCUCCGCUUCCCCAACCGCCUGUCUGAAGUUCUUGCGGGGGCGAGGCUGCUUGUUUGGGCGGCGGCAAGAGGCGAUUCAGCCGCUGGAAGGCCUGCGCCGCAAAGAUCCAGUUCGCGGUGGAUGGAGCGAUGA